Molecule: ribosomal RNA, 399 nt
Filed under: uncultured bacterium
Lineage: Bacteria
Description: partial 16S ribosomal RNA
Rfam family: Bacterial small subunit ribosomal RNA
Source: RNAcentral
CCUACGGGUGGCAGCAGUGAGGAAUAUUGGUCAAUGGGCGCGAGCCUGAACCAGCUAAGUAGCGUGAAGGAUGACUGCCCUACGGGUUGUAAACUUCUUUUAUAAAGGAAUAAAGUGAGUCACGUGUGCCUUUUUGUAUGUACGUUAUGAAUAAGGAUCGGCUAACUCCGCGCCAGCAGCCGCGGUAAUACGGAGGAGCCGAGCGUAAUCCGGAUUUAUUGGGUUUAAAGGGAGCGUAGAUGGGUUGUUAAGUCAGUUGUGAAAGUUUGCGGCUCAACCGUAGAAUUGCAAUUGAUACUGGCAGUCUUGAGUACAGUAGAGGUGGGCGGAAUUCGUGGUGUAGCGGUGAAAUGCUUAGAGAUCAGGAGGAACUCCGAUGGCGAAGGCAGCUUACUGAAC